CUUGUGAGUGCACAUGAUCUCCCUACUGGGUGGAAUAUGAUCUCUCCAAGUGAAUGUAAUCUUCCCAGUGAGAAGACAUGAUCUAUCCCAGAGAAUGGUCAUGGUCUGUCUCAGGAGUGGACUUGAUCUCAGUGAGUGGUCACCUAUUUACUCUGUGCCCUUAUGAUGCUGACUCUGACUCAAGCACAGACAGUAAUCACAUUAGCACCACACUGGAUGCACAGUGAUAGUGAAGGAGCUCUGAAAAAAAAUGUAGACAUCAUAUGGUGGUUGAAAUCACCAGAAACAGAGCUACAGAAGACAUGUGAGAGGAACUGAGAGCCUGAGAGAGGCAAGCAAGAAACCCAGUCCAGAAGAACCGAGGAGAAAGCCUGCAGCAAGCUCCAGGUUGAUGCUACUUCCAGCCCUUGUGGACUGUCUCUGGCUCGGUGACUGAGGAGCUGAAGAAACAUUUUGUGUUCAUCUCCAGCAACAUCCAUCCCUGGAAGUUACUUAACCCCAGCUUAAUGAGGAUAUAGACGUCAUCAAGCUGCUUCUCCCUCAGCCUGGGAAAUCGGCAGUGCAAGAGCUGUCCUUGGCUCAUCUCUGACCAGCUCCCUCUCCAGCUAGCAGCCCAACAGUGCAAAUCACACAUCAACUUCACUGAGGCUGGUGCUAUCAAUGUUGCAUUGAGAGGAAAAAGUCUAGAAGAUAGGGCUUCCUGAGCUGCAAUGGGAAAGUCUUGUAAAGAUCAAUCAACAGUGGUAAAGUCACAAUCUAUAAUGAAAUUGUAGGCACAGGGGACAGAAUGGUAGAAGUUACCAGAGAAAGAUAACACUGGAUCAUGAAGACACAAGACACUAUCAGCAUUCCUGUACCUGCCACAGGCAGCUUCGUCAGGAGUCAAUGCACUGGCCAUUUAUCUCCAUUCCCCAUCAGAGUGGCCUAGACCAUGUUGCUUUAGUGAGAUGGACUUUUCUUGCCAGCAAAGGAUGAUUACACCAUGGCCAUGCUGUCAAGUUAGAGAGGAAUUCUGUUCUCAGAAUUGGACUAUGGUUGGACAAGAGCCAGAGGAUUCCUUCUGAACUGAAGAGAAGGGGACAAAAUACUAGUGGAGGAUCUCACAGCUACUUAGGCCAAAUCCUUUGAAGUCCAACAUAGCCAAGAGCAGUUUCCUGUUGGAGUGGGAGAAGAGGUCACCAAUGCAGGGUUCUGGGUCCAUCUCUUGUAACAUUGGGUGCUGAAUGUAAUAAAAGCUUCAACUACAGGGAGAAA
Peromyscus eremicus (cactus mouse) is the source of this 1254-nucleotide long non-coding RNA. RefSeq lists it as uncharacterized. The transcript has 3 exons. The record is from RefSeq and is a predicted model, not a curated record. Lineage: Eukaryota; Metazoa; Chordata; Mammalia; Rodentia; Cricetidae.